RNAcentral lists this long non-coding RNA (5572 nucleotides) under Nicotiana benthamiana. RNAcentral's name for it is "long non-coding RNA (NBEN_LNC029997)". The record is from RNAcentral. Lineage: Eukaryota; Viridiplantae; Streptophyta; Magnoliopsida; Solanales; Solanaceae.
GAGGAGGGAGGUCCCUUGUUGACAAAGUGUGAGUACGACCUCUCCGGGCAGACUCAGCCAAAGUAAAUUGUAUCUGUGCUGAUGCAACGGCCUAGAAAAAUACUAGCACUGGAGCUUUUCUUUUAGAAACCCAUCGACCUAUCACCAUAAAGAGGUCGUAUCAAUAAAUGACGGCAAAUAAUAAAAGGCCGAACAAAAGUGACACUUACUGGAGGGGACCUUCGGUCCAAAGUGUUAGAAAACUGACCAAUCUCGAAUUCCCACCAUAUGAGGUAAUACGCGAGCCACCCAUCCCUCAGUGUUGAUGAAGGGAAAGAGUGCACGCCUCUUUGCUAAAAAAACAACACAAAGAAAUCACAAGAGAAUGAAAAUUAAAAGGGAUGAAAGAAGAUAACAAAUGUAUGCCAUCAACACCUACGGUUAUGAUUCCACUGCUCGGGAAAUCCAGCAAGAUUUGACACUAAGUGCUUAGUUUUGAUAAAAAAGUACUUGUACCAAAAUUUCCAGUUCAUCCUAUCAUCAACGGCGGAGGCAGGAUCUCCACGAAGGGGGUUCCAAAAAUCUUUUUUGUAACUAGUGGGAAUUGAACCCAUGACCUUGUGUAGAUUUUGAACCCCAUUGACCACUAAACUACACUUUUGGAUUGUGUGAAGGGUGUUCAAAACUUAAUAUAUAGAGGUAAAAAACAGACUUUACCUUAUAUAUAUAUAUAUAUAUAUAUAUAUAUAGUAUAUUUUUUUUGUGAAGGGGUUUAGAUGAACCCUUCUGCCCCCUUGACCAGAACCAGAGCAAAUGCCUUGCAUACAUUUAUGGUGAUAAAAAUAAGCGAGACACCUAUAUGUGGUUACUUCCUUAUUUGGGCCAGGUAAAUAUUGGAGUUAUACUAAAGGUUUCUUUCUUCAGAUUUAUUGACCCCUACCUAUCAUUCAUUCCAACUAUCAGCCCCCUGGUCCUGCGAUGUCACAGGUGUAUCAUAGUACCUUUGUAAAAACUUGGUGAAAAUAAGUGUAAUAAGUGGUGAAUGUCGACCUUGCAACCAUCCAACUCUGCAAACUUUGUCAGCAUCAGGAAAGCUUUAUAGAGAAAGCUGUGUCCGGACGUUGUAAAAUCGACAGAUUUCCUCCACAGUGCAAAGAGAGAGAGAGAGAGAGAGAGAGAGAGAGAGGGAGAGAGAGAUAGAGAGAAAGAGAGAGAGAGAGGGAGAGAGAGAGAGAGGGACAGAGAGAGAAAGAGAUAAUAACCAAUUAAGAAAUGGUAAACAUAAAAGGCAUAGUACUCAGGUCUAUGGACAUCUAAGAUGUCACCACCAGCUGUUACGCCCCCAUUUUCUCGCGAAAUCGGAUUUUUGACAUUCAGGAGGACAACUCAUUCCCAUUAGAGAAUUGGGAUUUAGAAUUGAAGAGCCAUCGAAUAAUUAUAGUACAUUAGGACACUAAGAAGGGUUCUGUUUGGACAAUAAGAGAUUGAAUAUCAGCUUGAAAUUAUCCCAAAAGGAAGGUGUUAGGCACCUUUCAGAAUCCACUAGUGUCAUUUCCGGCCAAGCUAUUAUUGUGACUUAAAUUCAAAUAACACACAAGCAAGUAAGAGUUCCACAUAAGAGGGGAUUUCCAUGUAAUGGUCACAAAUAAACAAAAUCAGCAAGAGCUAAAGAGAGUUGAUUUUUUCUUUCUUAGAAGAGAUGGUUUCGAAAGAUUUAAAAGAAACAAAGAACAAAAUGGAGAGGUCCUAGGUUUAUCAAUAAUAUGGAUCACGUCAAUGCAAUAUCCGGUAAUCACUCCUCAGAGAGGGGAUACACGCGGUAUUAACGCACUGGUCAUUAUAUCCAUAUCUACCAUUUCCCACCCCGUUUAAGGAAUAAAGGCGCGAAACGGCCUCGUUUACUUAUUGCAUGCUAUCAUUCGCCCCGAUCCUAUCAGUCCCUGAGGUACUUGAGACUACUAGUCCUAAAAGGAGGAAGUUUUGGGCUUAUUUAUGGUUUCAAAAGGAAACAAUACUAAGGCGACAAACAAAACACAUAUAGCAGGUUUGGGGGAGCAUAUGAACAAAUAAAAGGCCCAAACAGACCUCCUUUAAACCAAGAAAGCACAUAGUUUAUUAUGUUAUACACGUACCAUUUAUGAUCUAAUUAAAACUUAAAUAUUUGAGGCAUAUUGAUUUAUUACAUAGUUCAGAUAAGAAGCCUCAAUCUGGAAUGCCUGCUGGUUGUAACAUAUAAAAAUCUAAUUUCAAUAUAAAAGUUAUCCUAUGGCUUGCCUAAGUGUUGGACAAAAACCUAUGGGCAUGAUAUCUAUUGAUUCUAGAAGCAAAUUAAUUACAAACUACUUUAAGAAAAGUUGCCAAUUAAAAGUGAGUUUUAGAAGAGCGCAAGUUCCGUUAUUGGUGAUACAUUAUUACUGCUAGUUUUAGACUUAUGAGUGAGUGAAGUUAUUCAGCUUUGAUUAACUCCUUUAGGAAUGCUUUCUAAGCAUUUUUCGACUUCAUAACACAUUGAUAAACAUAGUAAAAAUACAGAAAAUCCUAUAGGCAUGACACAUACAUGCUGAGUUUUAUAUGAACAUGACAUCUGAUUGCAUUUUGGUUAUUUAGACCUAUGAACACGUUUGCCUAGUAAGAAAUGGGUAUGCAAGAAUCAAAAAGGACCACCCAUAGGCAUAUUUUCUACAUACAUGUGUAUCUAUAGAAAUGAUAUCUAUAUAUUCGAAUGCUAAAAUCAGAAAUCCUAUAGGCAGGUUAUCUACGUGGGAAUGCAAAAAUCUUAUAGGCAUGGUAUCUAUAUAUGAGAGUGCAAAAAUUACAAAUCCCAUAGGUAGGUUAUCUAUAUGAGAAUGUAGAAAUCUUAUAGACAUGGUAGCUAUAUGAGAUUACUAAAAUUAGAAAUCCUAUGGACAUAUUUUUUACAUUUAUAAAAUGCAGAAAUCCUAUGGCCAUUGUGUCGACCCUCUUUAGCAUACAUAAUUCCCCUUCCCUUUUUACUAGCCAUCCUUGAGAGUUUUAUUAUAUAGUUAUUACAACCUGGAAAAGAAAGUAAGGUACAGAAAAAUACAUCAGAAUCUAAAAGUACAACAAAGGAAAGCCUAAUUCAGACUUCCUAUCUGAAGCAUGACAUAAACCAACUCUGAAAGAUCAGAUUUCAAAGCCUUUCUCCCAUUUGGAGUGUGUCAAAGUUCCCUAAGAGUCUUUUAUCAACUACGGGCUGUGCUUACACCCAAAUACAUUACCAGAUUAAGAUAUAGUGCAGUGUGGAAGCGUCAUCCCUCAAGUGUCCAAGUUCAAAGGGAACUCAAGGUCCCAAGGCAAGGCUCACAGGGGGCAAAACUUAGAAACUAAGAGAGAGUGCAAGUGCAGAAGUGAAAUUCUAAAAGGGGAAAAGGAAGAGGAAAUAGUUCACAUUAAUACACAUAGGGGUAUAUGAAAUGGGGAGUUGCAAGAGGUAAAAAGCAAGCUGGUGUACAUAACCAAUAAUAAUAGAUGUUGGAAUACUCAUAAGUCUGUUUAGAACAUACUAUUUAGAGGUUAGGAUCCUUUAAGGGAUCAAAUUCAAUCCAAAGACAAUAACUUACAUAUUUCCAUGUUUUGAACUGUAACUCAAACACAAAAGGAAUAUAGGGAAAAAGGAUACAUAGCAGAGACAAGAAAAAGGAAAUCAACAUGCUAGUUUAUGUACUUAACUCUGCAGAAGUAUUAAAGUAAUAAUAGAUGCAGAUAGAUGCAAGCAAACACAUUGUGGUGAUGCUGAAGUUAAAUUAGGACAUACCAGUUUCAAAGAACAAAUAGGGAAAAGUAGUAAUCUUGUGAAAGCCAGAAUGCAGACAAGAAGGAAAAAUUCUAUUAGGUAAGAGUGAGAAUUCAGAAGAGAUUGUGAAGUGGAGAAUUGUUAAAUCGUCUGUGAUAUGUGUUAAAGAGUUGUGUAUUUAUAGUGUAAAAAUAAUGAGAAAAUAAGGUUAGAAAAUAGUUGAAGAAUUGAUUGUCAAUCAAUUAAACAAGACCCCCUUUAAUUAAGGGAUUCAGAUUCAGAUGGGUAUAAACUAAUUAAGGAAAGAAAUUAAUCAAACACUUUGUACAAAGUAGGCAAUUAGGGUGAGUACAUAAAAGUUAUUUAAGGACACGGAUUUGAAAUACGCGACUUUUUGCAAAUAAGGUAAGAAUAUCAAUUAACAACCAGCAAAUUAAAUGGUCUGAGAUUUUGUAUAAAUGAACCAAGUCAGAAAAGAUGAAGACGAGUUUUACUUAGGUCGAGUCACAGAGACAAUAAGUAAACAAUGGAAAGAAAUCAAUCAUGCUAUAUUUAGAAGGAAGCUUGAACUAAUUGCAAAUUUGAAAACCAUUUAGAGGAAAAGUCAUCAUAUAAAAAGAGCAUGUGAUUAUGUUAAGUAUGAAAGAAAAAUUGUCAUGUCACUGUAACCUUAGUAGAAAAAUCCAGUGUAGAAGAGUUUAGUAAAAGGGUCAGAAUCAUAUGAAAACAAUAAAGUACAAAAUCAAUUCAGAGACCCGAAGUUGGUCUGAAAGAGUUAGGAGUUCUAGAAAUAAAAAUUCAAGUUAAAUCACAUCACAUGAUCAAACUUGACCGAAUUCCCAAAUUCUAGGGUUUCUAGGUUGAGUCAAAUGCAGAGAUGACAAGGCAAGUAGUCGAAACAGGCUCAGAGAUUUCAAAGAAGAAUUGAAACCUCUUGGAUGCUUCUACCAACAACAAAACUCAUGACAAAGCAUGAUAUCAAGGUAACAGGCAGAAGACAGUAGAAGCACUCAAAGAAAAAUAGAGAAAAAACACUGACAUGAACAGUAAACAUGGUUAAGCAGUUUUUCAGAAGAAACUUAAAUCGGGCUUAGCAAAAAGAAAGUAAGGAAACUUAGGAACUUAACAGUAAAGUACAGUAGGAAAAACAUUCUGGAACUUAGUAGAAGAAAAAUACAUGAGCAUAAUAGAAAAGCAUAUGAGAACACAGUACGGAAAAAAUGGUAGAAGAACAUACAAGCAUGGAAUAUAUAAAACAAAUUAAGAAAAGAACAUACAAGAAUGAAGUAUAAAAACUCAGUAUAAGAAUAUACAAUAACAUAACACAGUAGAGGAAAGUACACAAAAUAAAAGGGAAAGAAAGUCAGAGGAACACUUAAACAUUUUUUCAGAAAACUCUAGAUCGAAAAGAACGAUUUUUAAAAGUAAUCUUUUAAAGAAAAGUUAGGGAAAUCGUUUGAAAACUCAGGAAAAGCAUAGAUACACAAAAGAUCUAAAGAAAUCGGAGAAAACCUCGAGGAAAGAACCCUAGAAGUGAGAAAAGCUUUGAAAGGUCACCGAUCGGAGUCAGAGAGAUCAGAACCAUGCUCAAACAACCUUGAUAUGCCGGAUCAAGGCCGGAGAUGACCUUGAGACCUUGAAUCAAGAAUGGUAUGGGUUCAACCCUUUAUAGUCAGGCCAUAAAUCUUCAUGUAUCAGGCACGUAAAAGUACCAGGAGGUAGGUGUAAGACUCAUAUAGCUUUGAUGGCCAUAGAUUCUAGUGCAUUUCAGGGCGGAGGUAGCUAGGGUUAGAGAAGGUUUGAGAGUAUUUGAGAGAAGGAGAGGAUUUAAAAGGUAGC